GCCCGAGUGGGGUCGGGGCCCCGGCCACCCGGGCUAGCGCUCAGUCUGCGUGGCGCCUCGUCGGCGCCCUGCGCGCAGCCCCACGCGAGCUCAGGCCCUUUCCUGCCUCGGUUUCCCCCUCUGUCACCACCGCGUGAAGCCCCGUCCGUGCUGGGAUGUGAGGAUCUCCGGGUUUUCCAGUCGCGGUUGGAAGCGCUUUAAGCAUUUAAAAUCCUUCAGCCUCCAGAGAUGCUGCGCUGCGCCCCUUUGUCAUCCUCAUUUUACAGCGUCUCGAGAGGCUGCGGUCACGGCGCGGGCCGGGGCUGGGGCUCGUGUGAAGCCUCGGCCAGGGCAGCAUUCACCUCCAGGCUCACCCACUUGUGGACGGCGGCAUUUGGUUCCUGUCGGGCUGGCGGCUGGAGGGCCCCCCAACGUGGCAACUUGCUUCUAGCCAGACAGAAGUCAGAACGGUGGGCAAUCUAAUCACGCGAGUGACGUCCCCACCCUGGCCGUGUUCUGCGGGUCAGAGCUGGGUCCACAGGGCAGGGGUCACACGAGGCCGUGGAUACUGAGAAGCGGGGCAUCACUCUCGGAGGCUGCAGACCACCCAGACCCUCAGAGGAGGCCCUCAGUGGCGGCCAGCCGGGAGCCUCCCCCAUGGCUUUGGUGCCCCGGGACAUAAGGGACCUCCCGGUGUCUGGCCAUGCUGCCACCUCCCAGCAGUCACCCAGGUGCAACCUGGGCUCCAUCCGCGAGAGUGGCUGAGGGCACCGUGCAGUCUGGCUGGCGACUCAGUGGAGCGGUUUUGGCCCCAACUUCAGCUUCCUCUUCUCUCCAAGGGGGUGGCGGCUGUGGCCCCCUCACGGCAGCACAUGAGUGACACAUGGCCGUUCCUCGUGCCGGCUCUUCUCCAGAGAGCCUGGCGUGCGCUGUUAGUAUCUGCUCUUUGCAGCCUGCAGACGGAGGCUCAGAGAGGGAAGUGGCUUCCUCAAGGGCGCACAGUGAAUCGGUUGCAGAGAGGAUGCGAACGGGGGCGUGCCUGACUCCAGACCACCAUCUUAAAAGAUUAAAAAAUAUGUUUAUUUUCCGAUUAGGAAGGUGACACGUUUGAUCAAAACAUCGACAUGUUAUGGGGCUGGCCCCGUGGCCGAGUGGUUAAGUUCGCGCGCUCUGCUGCAGGCGGCCCAGUGUUUCAUUGGUUCGAAUCCUGGGCGCGGACAUGGCACUGCUCGUCAGACCACGCUGAGGCAGCGUCCCACAUGCCACAACUAGAAGAACCCACAACGAAGAAUACACAACUAUGUACCAGGGGGCUUUG
RNAcentral lists this long non-coding RNA (1297 nucleotides) under Equus asinus (donkey). RNAcentral describes it as "lncRNA (ENSEASG00005038170.1)". Lineage: Eukaryota; Metazoa; Chordata; Mammalia; Perissodactyla; Equidae. The record is from RNAcentral.